CUGACGUGGCCCGGAGCCGUCAGGCUGUGCCUACAGCAGUCCUCGGAGCCCCCCAAAGGCUCCCAGCCAAGUAACGGAGCCGGGCAGCGCUGGAUGAAGAAACGCUACAUGAAUCCUUUCAGAACGGAGAAACGUUUGGGGUUUUUUUUUUGUUUGUUUCUUUUUUAGUUUGUUUUCAAGGUUUCUCUUCACUUCGGGCACCGAGGGAACUCAGCCCGGGACGCGCACGCAGCGAGCGGAGCGCCGGCACAGAGCAGCUCCGGCCCUCGCUGUGCUCCCGUCCCGGGAGCGGCUCACCCUCAGCACCCCGACACCGCUCUCCUCACGCCCUCGGGCGGGCCCAGGCCACGGACGGGCGGCCGAACGGCGUCCCGCGGGCGUGGGGAGCGGCCCAGCAGGUGACGGACGACGGAGGCGACGCCGUCCGCUCCGCCGCCGCCUCGGCCCGACACGAGCCGCCUCCCGCCGCCGGUCCUCGGCGCGCCCGCAGCCCCGGCCAGGGACCCGCUCCCGCCCGCCUGCAACGGAGAAGGACGCUUGGGAAGCCGCCAGGCGCCGCCCGCCCGCAGAAGUAGGGCCUGUCUCUUUAGACAGAACCAGGAACCUGGAUGGAAAAAGUCAACAUUUUGAUCUACGUGAGCAACCAUGGCUUGGUGAACUGCAGACAGUGCCAGUGUGCAUGAAGAGACAUCUUCAUAGCUUCCCUGGUGCAGCUUGGUGCCCCUCUGAUCCUCGGGUCGUACCAAAGCAGCCUAACACCAUGUCACAAACAUGAGGGGAACACCACAUGCGGGCACAGGGCUAGCUGUGAUGGACUAACAGGUUUCUACAGUCUCGUAUUUCAGGUCUUAAAUAGUCCUGGGAAAAUGAGAAGUCCCUCCAAGCUCCUUUCCUGCAGGAAGGAUCACAGUAAGGUAGCUGCCACUUACAAGAGCUUUUCUAGAUUCUUUCUAAACGUCAGGCUCUGCAGCUGUUUCACAUGCGUGGGAUUUCCACAUGUACCCAUACAUUCAGCAUUUGUCUGGAGGAGCCAGAAUGCUGCUUUGAGAAAGCUGCUGUGAGCAACAUAACAACAUUUCUAAACAUCCAGUAAUCAGUAGUUUGAUUUAUCUCCUGCACUUCCAAUCUAAACAGAAGGAGAAAAGGUGCAGAAGGCAACUGAAAGCCAAAGGGAGAGAGGGCUGACUGAUUUAGGAGAAUGCGAGAUGGAGAAAGGCCUCAAUUCCAUUUUGGUUCCAUUUUUUUUUCUGCUUUCUGUGCAGCUUUCUGCAAGCUUCGGAAGAGCUUCAUUUUCCCUUUAAAAUGGAGGACACAAUGUCUAAAUGCCUUUAAAAAUCAUCACAGUGCUCUGGGAAUGCCGCAAAGUAUGAACCCACUGAAAACGCUGUUCUUCAGGGAGCUAAUUGCCUGCGUCGUGAAAGCACGCUAAGCAUUCUCUUUGUUGCAAGUCUCCGCAAUGCUAUUGGAACACAAUUACGGGCCGUGCUUUCAGCAGGCGUGUUGACACCGUCACAGACCGUGGUUUCAGACAGUCUACCUGCAGGGCAGCGGUACUGGCAUCACCAGCCACAGCCACGCUGCCCCUUUCGGCACUGUGAAGCAUGCAGUGAGCUUCCCCGUGCUGUAAGUGGCACGAAGCCAAUACCACGCCAUACCGGGGGGUUUUCUGGCAUCCUCCUGCAUGGGUGGGUGGGCUGGAUGGACUUGGCAAGGGCUUGUGAGGUUUCUGCCAACAUUUAACAAAGGAAUCCUUUACACACAUUCUUGCCUGAUACGGCACCUUUUCACUGCUCCGUAGCGCUUGAAGGAAAAAAAAUGUCUACAUUUAAUAUGUAAAUAAAAGUAUUGAUCCAGUAAGAAGGUCACUGCAUUCAUCCAAGGCAAACUGCAUUGCUUUCAGAUAACUGUUUUCACAAGUUCAUGAGCUUUUCAAACAAAGCCUGCUAUUUCACUGUGUGCCUGAACACCACAAGUUGGGAAAUGGGGAACCGUGUCAGUGAUGGGCGCUGAGGAUAACAUCACAGCAUGGAGCCAAUAGCCAGGUCAGUGUGUUUGUCAGAGGAGACAACACAUCACAUCCUGCUGCAGUUUGAUGAAGAGUGGAAACAAGCAAGAACCUGGACACUGUCCAUAGGCACUGUAAUUGAAGAUCUGUGUUUCUACAGAACGGUUAAGCCAGCUUUGGCAGAAUUAAAACUUCCCUAUCAGAAAGAAUCUCCAGGACUUUGGUGAUAAACCAUAACCAAGUGAUAAUCUGGGUGUAAAAAAAAUGAGGGAAAGAGGAUUGGAAAUAUUAUCGCUGGUCAGACUGAGCUCAUCUCAGCUAUUCAUACAGCUUGUAAUAAACUUGUGAACUUCUCAUGGGUUCGUUUCAUUAAACAUAUUUCAAUUCCAUUUUCAAGAUUAAUGUAUGGUUCUAUUGCAAGUGACUAUAAUAACUUAAAACCAGAUUUUAGAAGUUGCACUGGUGUAGUUUUAACGCACAAAGUAUUCUAAAGCUGAUAUAUAAAAUUUUGUAGAUCUGAACAGUGCUUAUUGUGAGGAAAAUGUAGUUAAAGCGUGAAAGGAAUUAGAAUCCUAACAGGAAAGCUACAUCUCUGCAAGUACCUGAACAGAGCAGAGAGGUUCUUUAAGAAAAUGCUCCAGUAUUUCCACAUGACCUACCGAAGGGAAGGAGCACUGGUAUGCUGCCAAAUUCCAAGAGAGCUGAGCAGUGAUUAGAGUUUAACUCAGGCUUCAAGAGGAUUUUUUUCCUUGAAUUUCUCAAUGUAAAAAAUUCUGAAGCACUCUCAACUUUACAGUUAAAAAAAAAAAUCUAAAAAUGUAAUAAAGAACUUGCUUUAGGGAAACAUCUGGUAGUUUUAAGUGCCUUAGUUCAGCAAAUUCUCCAUUUUCACAGCCUGAGUGUGGCAUGCACACAUCCAUUCUGUGGCCACUGGCAGCAUAGGAAGCAGGCAAAUAACUGCGCUGAGUUGGUUAUAAAAUAAUGCAACGUACAACAUGGAUAAGCCACAAGUUCUGAGAUGGGCUUUCAGUAGAAAGACAACUGGAUGCAAUGGCGGGGAGUCACGUAGUCAGAAGUCUCUAACUGGCAGGGGAUGGCCACUGCUGAGCGGGGCAGGGAUACCCACCUGACCUCAGCCAAGCACAGCUAAAGAGUACUGCACAGCCUCCCGGGCUAAGAACACUCAGCACAAAGCCACCCCAAGAACUGCAUUCCUUAGCUAGAGGUCAAAGCAGCCAUACAGAGGGAAGUAGUAAGAUAAGCGGACAGGAGAACAGAAGGGAUCUAAUUUAAAGGGCAAUGUAUAAAUGCAUCUACUGCUUCUUCCACUGAACGCUCUCAAAACAUAGUAAUGCAUGUACUGGGAAGAUAGUGCCUGCUUCUCAAUCCCGACAUUUUGGUUAGGGUUCUGUAGACAGGUGACUCCACAGCAGCGCAGCACAGCACAGCAAGCGACACUCUUGGCUUUUUGUCUGGUUAAGAAACUACACGUGUAGGAACACAAAGCAUCUGUGAGACCUGCUCACAUCUACAUUGUUGUAUUGUCACAGCAUCCCACGCAUACUUCAACACCUUCACCCGUAUUCCAGCACUCAGCAAAACAACCAGAGCAGCCCUGGAAGGCCUUACAGCCCCUGUAUAUUUGUGUGACCAACUCCCCCAAUAUGCGCACCAUGGGGCAGCUGUAAGGGCUCACUAAGGCAACCAGAGGGCACUCCAUGGGGUUGGCUUCACCCUCUGAAGCAGAAAAGGGGUAACAUCACUCCUGGAAUUUCACCAUCAGUGAGCAGAACUUCCCCUAAAAAAUAAAAAUUAAGACACUACUGGCAAUAAAAUCAGUCUUUGCAGACUGAUGAACAUUUUACACGCUAUGAACAAUGAGCCAUUCAGAGAGAGAACUUUUUUUUCUCCUGGAUUAGAAAUUGACAUCUCCUUCAAGAGCAUCCACUGGCCAGUUCUCUCCCCACGCCUUCCUCACCGAUGAAGUACUCACUGACUCUUUUCACCUCCAAAAGCCUUCAUGGACAUCUGCAACCUGCAAGUGCCAGAGGGGGAUUAUGCUGCAGCCACAUCUGGGAUGAAGGGCAGCAGACUUUCUACACGAGGGAGGUGAAAUUAAUUUCUAUAAAAAACAGAAGCAAAGCCUCAUGUUCUUACGAAAAGUGCCAGUGGACUUUUAAUGAUGCUGGGAACCAGCCAAGGCCGUGGGUUGUAUUUCUUCUGAAAGAAUUCUGUAUAAUGAAGCACACUGAAAAAUAUGCAGAGAGACUGACAGCGAUGUUUACUUUAUUCAUGGCACUACAUUUAUUCAGGAAACAGAGGGGAAGAAAAAAAACCUGAACUGAGAAAAAAAGGUAGUCUUCUUCCAAUAAUACCAUAAAAACACACAAGCCCAGAACAGAAGGUCAGGGAACAGCAGUUCCCUCUGACUGCAUGGCCAUGGCCAUGGCGCCCUGUGCUACCUAGAGCUUUUUCAGCAAGAGAUGGAGUGUGGAGGAUACAGCAGCCCUUUGGAGGGAAAGAGAUCAUUUUUAUUUUUUGAGGAGGUGGAAGAAAAAUUGUAUAAACCAUGUUUUACAAACAGAGUUUUAAAGGUCUCUCAGCAGGCUUUAAAUAAAAUGUAUAAAUAAAUACAAAGAUGAAGUACACUCACUGCAUUCUUUCUUUCCAUGGAUGAAACGGGCCAGCGAAAACAACUGACCUCAACUGUUUUAAUACUGUUUGCUGUUACGUAACCAAACCAAGCAGUUCCUUCUGCCACUGGUGGAGAAUUGCAAAGGUUUUAAAAGUUCAUUUUUUAGUUAUUCUUUGGAAUUUGUUUUACCUACAGUUAUUGCUUACAUCAGCUAACGUGACAACAGUUCAAAGAACUUAAUUCACUCAACAGCACUUAAUUCCUACAUACAACAACAUUUGACAUUCAGCAAAUGUGGCUCUUUCCCUUGCAGAGUAUUUCUUUCUUUAGUUAUAUGGUCUUCUACAUGCAAUGGAAAGUUUGGGCUUUUUUUUUUUUUUUUAAACAGGAAGAAUAAUUUGGAGUCUUCCAUCACUAGCUAUGAACUCAAGGGAGGCACACUGCCCCAGAUCCACGAAGCUGUAUAAAGCGGAACUAAUAAAUCCCAAUUCCCUGCAGACUUCAGUCUUCUCUUCCCACCUUCCCACUCACCUCUCCCACCGAGCCCAGUGACCCAGCACCCCCCGAGGGUCCUCUUUCACACGCAGUAGGCUUAGCUCCUAUUUAUGUCCCUGAACUACUGCUUGAGCAAAAGAAAGCAAGUGCUCUGCCAGGUUCCAUGUGUGCAGACUGACAGAUCUGCGCUUGGCCUGUCUCGCCGGCCGACCGGCCAAACUUCCUUGGCAAUGCUUCCUAAGCACAGGAAGUCUUGGAUCUAUCUUCUCUACUGAACCACUAAUUUUCAUGCAACUGGUAUUAGCUCAGUGAUCUCUGACAUCCUUCUCAACCGAAGUGGCCCAAAAGACUCAAGUUGCUUAUAAUGAGGGGGUAGAAUAGGACAGAGCACAAACGCAAAAGCAAGAGGAAAACUGUGGUCAAAGUAAAAUAUUUUAAGUAUGACAGCAUUCUGUUAAUAGCUGUGCUGUACUUCUGCUCAGCUAAAAGGUGAUCUGGAGAGAUUCUGACAGGCUAAGCUUUAAAUAUUUCAGAUCCUGCCACUUUCACUGGCAAUCUCCCAGCCCUUCACAACAGCAUCGCAAGGCACUGCUUGUUUUUAAAUCAAAACAUCCCAACACAGCCAGUUGAACAGCUGCUAGUUAUAGCUGCCUUCUGGCAAUCUAGUGUUUUUCUGGGUCACGUGUGCUUUUACCAGGAAAAUAAACCUGUGUAAAAUAACUCAGGUUUAUAACAUAUAUGAAUGUUGGCAUUAAUUCAGCAAUCUAAUACUCUUACAUAUAUGAAUUACUAAUACAAAACUUGUUUCUUUCAAAACUAGCCCCUGACAACAAGAGCCAGCAAUUAUUACCAAAGGAUACUGUUAGCUGUCAAGUUUUGUCAUUCAAGUCACAGUGAGAUUACUGCACUGAUGACAGAAGUCUGUAUCACUCCUUACUGACCUCCACGCCUAAGCUACACAAAUCCAGUCCUGGGUUUGGCCACAAGUACCAAGUGCUCACCCUAAGCCUUCUGCCUGUGCUUUGGUUUUAAGUAAUUUUCUCUGGAGUCAGUGACUGAUCUUGAAUAAAAUUGAAGUUUUUCCUCCUUCUCAUGGUAGCUACAUCUUUCAGAGCAGAUGAAGAUUUUUUUAUCUCAUUAGCCUUCUAAUGAUCUCCAGAAUACAAUCAGAAAACCAAGUCCUUCACAGAUAAUCACUUGAUUCCUCUGGAAAAGAGAGGUUUUAACUUGAUAGUGAUUUAUCAUCCACAUCAGUUUUCACGAACCAGCCACAGCAAGUAACACUGAUCUCCACCUCUGUCCUACCACUUUCAACAUGAUCAAUAAAUUCACGUAAGCUUGAGUGCAACAUCCAAGUCUGCUCUGCAGCCAAAAUGUGUGUUAAGUCCUGUGUUCAAAUACAGACAUUAAUUACUGAGACUCAGUCUAGCCAUGUAUUACCCUCCCCUAACACCUACCCACCAUUCCUAUGUGCUCUUGGACCACAAUUUGACUUCCCUGUUCCUGGCUCAGGCCUUUACCCCUUUGUACUGCAGUCAAAUGGCCAGUGUCAGAACAAAAACCUGGCUGGGAUCUUUCCAAGUGGAAACAAGCACAACACAGGGCAAGGCAAAGAUUGCAGCCAAUCACUAGGAGCAAUGUGUGCAAGUUAGAGGGCACUCCACACUCUGUCUCAAAGUCCAGCAAAUAAUUACAUGUGGACUUGUCCUGGUCCAAGCCUCAGUACCCAUUUGAAUCCAUUAUCUUUUCAGUAAUCGCAUUCCCUCUUUUCCUGCCAUUUAUCUCAGUUCUAAUCCUGCCACUUCAAUCCCUCUCUCAAAGAGAAGUCCUCGUUCUUUUCAACACUGUCAGUCUGGUAAACUGAGUGUCAGAGAUGUAGGAUCACUCAUUUCCUUUGCUACAGAACUUCACUAUUUUACUGUAAAUUCUUUCAAUAUUUGUGUAAGACUAUUCCUAGCACCUUAAUAUUGCAAAAAUCCUUCUUGUAUAUUUUGAGUAGUUUUUGAAAUUGUUCUAAAGCUUUUCUACAAGGAUGACAUGUUUUACAUGACCAUAAAGCAACACUGAGCGCUACACAUGAACAAGCAUUAACAGCUUCUUUAAACCUACAUUCAUAGAAAAAAUAAUCACUUUUCAAAGAUAGCUUGUGCACGAUUCCAUCAGCUUCUGCACCCAAAUUCAGCUCUCAUGGCCAAAACAACUGUUUUUCUUCAGGGUUGGACAUUGCUAUUUAAGCUUUUAUUCUGAAAGCAAAGAACCACAGUGUCUUAGUUAAGACUCAGGAAAAAAAAAAAAGUUUAACCCAUAUUAGGGAAAUUCUUAGAAUUGUAACUGCUACUGAAACUGAAAUUAAUUCAAACUGCUUUCAUUUGGAUUUUUUUUUUCUUUUUCUCUUUUCAAUUUGCUCUUUAAAAGGCAUUUGGCCUAAAAAAUCUGCCACACGAGAAUUAAGGGCACAUCACAAGCAAAGAAUAUACCAUCUUAAAAUGGUGGAUGAAGCAGCACUGCUUACAGGCACUGAUCCUCAGUCCGCCACCAUCUGGAACACUGCAUCUACAGAAACCUUCUGUCAAACAUAGUUAAUAAUUAAUUAUCAAGGAGAGAGGAGUCAAAGAUCUUCAAAUAAAAUUUACAGCUAGUAAUGUCCAAUCUACCACAUAGAAAGUCUGCAAACAAUGGCAGCAGAGAAAAUUAAUUGCUUCCUCGUUUACAACAUUAUCCUACAGACAGCUUUCAAAUAUGUAUUUAUUAGUAUGAUGUAUAUGCCAGCCAGUAUGGGUAAUUCAAACCUUUUACAGCAGUCAUAUUUCUAAACAAUGUGAGCACUAUGCUCUUAGGUGCAUUGCUGUAUUUGGCACAAGAAACGUCUAACACACUGAUACAAAUAAUUGUUGUUUUUUUUAAGCCAGCUUAAGGCAGACUUAGAUGCCCCACCUACACUUACAAUUUAUAGACAUCCAUGGUUUUGAAGCACUGUUGCACAUUACCACUUGAAAAGCAUUUGUUUUCUUUUAAAUGUAUUUCAAUUCCAAGGGUUACAGAAGCACUGAUAUACACACGCAUAUCAGCACUUGCUUCAUUCCACUCUUCUAGAAAGAAGAAAGCAUGCGAGAUCAGAUUCUGCCCUCACCUACACUACUGCAACACCCACUACUUGGAAAGGCUGAUUGUAACGCCCAGUAACAUUUCACUGCAGACAUCUCUGCUGUGAAACCAGAGCCAGGCAGUGACCCAAAGCAUUUGUUCAGACUGUUGACUUUCUUAAUUACUUGUGCUUACAUUAACUUCUCUGCAAAAUCUGAGCGGAUCAGAGAACAAAUAAUUCAUUAUUAUAAAGGCUGUACCAGAAGGGCUGGAAGAUUUACAUCAAAGGGAAAGCUGAGCUCCACCUGAAGAGUGCUUCUGGAAUUAAACUGCCUCUAUCCUCUGAACACACUGUUUGUUUGUUUUAAUUAAAAAGAUUGAGCAACACGCAAGUUUUGCUUUUGGUACUGAACAGUAACUUCAGAUAUUCCAUGUAGUUCUACAGUACUGUUCCAGACAACCAGAGGCUCUUUUAGGUUGUUAGCAACAUCCUGGUCAUCAACAGCCCUUCCCUUGUAUGUAUUUGAACUACAAAUACUCAGAAACGGAGUGACUUUAUUUAGUGCAAAGUUUCUUAUCUGAGAACUUUAUAUGCUAACAAAAGCCUGUCACGGCUGAAAAGCCAGGAGGCUUUAAAACCACCUUCUGGAACAGCAGAGUCAGGGGAAGAUUUACUUUGAGCAAGUAGCUUACAGCCUCCAGCAAGAUGUUUUUCACAGUGUAAUAAAAGCCACACUUUGGAGUCAUUUGUCUUCAAAAUAAAUAAAUAAAUAAAUAAUCACUAACAACCCACAACAACCCUACUGACAGACAACAGUGAAGUACACACAAGAGUUCCAGGGGCGUUCCUUCAUUUCUAUCCACUGUUACGGUCUUUGUCAAUAAAGUCAUUUCCAGCUUCAACACAUCUGAAGAG
Molecule: long non-coding RNA, 9135 nt
Organism: Gallus gallus (chicken)
Lineage: Eukaryota; Metazoa; Chordata; Aves; Galliformes; Phasianidae
Exons: 2
Source: RefSeq, a predicted model, not a curated record